This is a non-coding RNA of Misgurnus anguillicaudatus (oriental weatherfish), 7221 nucleotides long. Lineage: Eukaryota; Metazoa; Chordata; Actinopteri; Cypriniformes; Cobitidae. The record is from RefSeq and is a predicted model, not a curated record.
GUAAGGCAGCACUUCACUUCAAGAAAAAAGAGAAAACUCCACACAAAUCAAAUAAGUUGUUUCUCUGAAUCACUUUGAACAACAUUUUAUAACAACAACAACAGAUUUUCAGGGUUUCUGACGAUCAAAAGAAACAGGCAACACAUCAUCAAAACCUUAAAACAUGACUCAGAGAAACAUUGCAACACCCUUUCAAAUGAUGCUUGCCCAAACUGCAUUGACCAGCUCUUUUCCAAUUAGUAUUUUGUUAAUUGGACUGGAGGCAAUAAUUGAAAAUGAAUUUAUAUGCCCAUGCAGUGCAAAUGGGAAAGACAUAUUUAUUGUAAUUUUAGUCCUCAUAACACCUCCUUUUUUUACAUGUGCACUGAUGUUUUUCUACAACACAUUCUUUAAACCUGAAGAUGGUAAUACUAGUAGCCAAGAAACAAAAAUUAAGAAAAAAUAUGUAAGGGUUAUAAAUUACUCAAUUCCUAUUUUUGUUUGGAUUAUCAUCUUAUUACUUGAUGGUGAAUAUUGGGCUUGCUUUCGUACAAAUUGGGUAGGACUUUAUUUUUUUGAUCAAAAGCUAACACGAAAGUGGUGUCAACCCAGUGAAACAAAAAAAAAUGAGGACACGCUACGGGCAACAUAUCAAAACCAUCUGUUCUGGUCUCAGGUAAAAAUCAAAUACAGUAUAUGCAUAGUACCCCAUUUUGAAGUUGUCAUUGGUUUCAUCAGUUCUCUUUAUUUUUUUAUUGUUGUUUUUUCCAGGUGUCUGGCUAUAUACUGAUUAUAUUGGUCUCUUGGAUAAUUUUUGUGGUUGUUUUAUGCUAUAAGAGUAAAAAGAGAAAUCCUCAUGGCUCAAAGAGCCACUAAAAUGACCACAAAAAAAGUUCAUAUAUUUAGUGUUGUGGUCUACUACAAUACUGUUGUUUGAAUAAACAUAAAAAAAACGCAUUAUUUUGCUCAUAAUAUAGAUAUUUGCAACAUCUCUCUCUAAAACGCUUGAUAUCAUCGCGUGUCUCUUCAAAGCCCCACCCCCACAAACACCAAGUAUACUCUGAUUGGUCAGGGGUUCUAAACGAUUGUGAUUGGUCAAUCCUUGUAGCGUUUAAAAUGUUCAUUACCAUAAUCGGGUUUCGGCUUUUCAUGCGUGUACACGAAAAUAACUGUAGAACUACAUCUCAGGCGUUUACUGUAGUACAUAAAAAAAUGCCUUCGGUUAAAGGGAAUAUCUUCCCUUAAAUUGGACUGUGAGCUUUGUAACUCUGCACAUCCCUUUUAUGCUCAAAACUGCUACAUUAUACUAUAACUACAGUUAAAAAGUUGAAAUCCAUGAAAGGGGCUCUUUAAUUUCUAAAAAUGCUUAAGUCAGCAUUUUUUUGUACGUUUUUUUUUUUUUUUUGCAAUAAUCUCCAAUGUGAUCUGUGAGUAUUAUCCCAAUUGCUACAGUGCUAGUUUAUUUUAUGAGACAUUUUUGACAAUGUAAGUAUGAGUUCCAAGAAAGAACAUAUACUAGAGUUAUAAAUAAAAUAGUGAAAGUAAUGUAAUUUUAAAAGUACAAUACCAUUAAAAACCAUGACUAUUGAUUGGAUGGAUUGGGGUAUGUACCCCAUGAUAAGAGAUGCUUAGGAGGGCUUCAGCUGCAAAGAGAUGAUAACAACUGGUCUAGUAUUUCUAGUAUAUAUCCAGUCAGCAAGAAUGCAGGAGUAUUUGGUUAAACCGAAACACUAUAAUAACAACACUAAAAAUAAUAAUUUUUGACUCGGGAUUAUAGACUAGCACAACGAUUAAAGAUUUUGUUGGUACGGUUAUAGUCUGAUGAAUAAUCAUGGUUGUACGUUUAUUGCGAUUAUCAUGGAUUCGUUAAUUUUACAACAUUAAUGUAUAAAAUCACAUGAUCACACUUUUGAACAAUUGUUACAUUUAUUUGUAUUUUCAGUUUGUGUACUUUUUCUAUAAUUCUUGUUUAAAAAAAUGAAAAAAUAACCUAACUGGCUUUUGACUUAAACAGUUGUCUUUUGAACCCUGUAUUCAUUUUAAUGAUUUGUUUUAAUAAAUGUAAUUUUACAUGUGGACUGAGAAAAUAUGUCUGUUAUUCUGGUUUGUUUAAAGUUUUAGUAAAAAUAAUAAGAACCUCUCAAAACGAAUAACAACACAGGGGGCCCAAUCUUGCACCCAGCGCAAUUGACUUUGUCAGUGACGCAUGUAUCAUUUUGUAUUUUGCACCGGCGCACAGCGGGUUUUUCCCUCCACAGACGCACGUCGGCAAACUAGGGAAUGAACUUGCAAAAAAGGAGGUGUGUUCCGGCACAAACCAUCUCUUAUGCUAUUUGCAGUUUCAAAAAACAAUUGCGCUACUAACAAAAAAAAACUAGUCUAAAGUCAGUGGCGCGUUGCGCGUGGUUCAUUAUGCUAUUUUAAGGACGCAUGCUUUGACCAUAAUGUAUAGCGUGCACAACACGCACACAGAUGAAACAGUUAUUUUUGCAAAUCAUAAAUUGUUACAAUAAAAAAAUAUUAAUACAUGAGAUAAGGGAAAUCAUUGUGGUGAGCAUUGUGGUGAUAGUUUUUAUUUAUUUUGUGUGGCAGCGUUAAACAAUCAUGCAAAUAACGAUUAAAAUAUUUUCAUAAGUUUGUUGUGUGCAGUGCCGGCACCAGCCGAGCGCUGAUGAGGGGGCGUCUUAAAUACCAGAGGGGGCGAUCACACAAAAUGCAUUUAAUUCCCCAAGCUAGAAAAUACAUAUGGUACGUCCCUUAAGCUUUAACGUGUUAUAAACAAACAUCUCUGUAAUACAACCACAAAAACUACAGCUAUAGUGAGCAACGUACAUGAUCUAAACACUUUUACUAUAUACAACAACAAAAAAGCAUACCUAACGUUACUUAACAGCACAACACUGCUCAUUUGAAGUUCAGACCCAGAGCUAGUUUCUUUUUAAUCCAUUUCGACUGUCCAUUGUGAAAUUAGUUAAUGCAAUAUAAUACCCUGAAAUUAUGAAAUGUUCGUACUUCGUGUUUGCUUUCCAUAGUGCAAAUAAUUUUUACGUAAUGGUGGGGGACAGUGUUUGCAAAUGGUUUCUAGCGCAAAAACGGUCCAAACGUAACAUUUUAUCAAAAUUUUGGUUCAAUUUGAUCAUUUAACGUAGUUAUUUUAACUGCCACAAGUAAUGCACCAUAAGCUAGAGAUUAAACACCAGCAGAUAGAGAACUACAAUAGCAAAAUGACAAUAACUUGUUUACACAUUUAGCUAUGCUUUAGGAUAGGCUAAUUCAAAUACCUAUUCGUUAACUAUAAAUUCAAUGUCUGUUUUUUAUCUAUUAAUAUUAAUAAUAAUACACGUAUUUUACUUCUGAUAAACAGGUGUGUGUGAGAGAGAGAUCGUAUGCUUACCUUUACAGUGGCGGUUCUACACGGAGGCCAAGGGUGGCCCGUGCCUCUGUAGACAAGUGCCUGGCCACCCCUGUGGCCACCCCGUGCUGACCAAAUAAAAAAGUAUACAUUUAUUUUGAUUUUACACGCGAGCGCCAAAAGCGGAACUAAUCCGACGCAUAACGUUAAACGGGCAAAUUAGAGCGGCGCACCCAACCACUGUAGCUGGCUGCGGGUGCUGGGUGCUGCUCAGCGAGUGUCUCAAUUCGUUCCCAAUUUUCCGAUGUUGAGAAUGUGUAUGCAGGUUUGGGCACUAGUAAGGACUCUAGCUCACUUGACAUUGGGACACUGUUCACUUGUUCUCCUGUGACGUGGCUGCUUAAACGCGGUGAUCAUUCACAGCUGUUACUCAUCAACAACCGGCAAAACCAACAUCUCGCUAACUUUUUAAAGGGGCCAUGAAUUGGUCGAUUUUAUUGCUUUAUGACGUUGAUUGAUGUCUACUUAUGCAUUUCGCGUUGUUUUUACAUUCAAAAACAUCAAAAGCAAUAAGUAAUACGUUAUUUUGUAACAUGGAUUAGUGGCUGUCUUGAGAAAUGGUUCGUUUGAAGGGGCGGGCCGCAUUGAAGACCUGAACGUAAACACCCACUGCUAUGAUUGGACAGCUUCAUUCCCCGUCAUUACAUGUAGGGAAAUGUUUUAAAAACAUUAAUGUGAUAAAAAUAGCAGCCGAACACAAAUAUGUUUGAGACACAAAAGAUUCUGGGUGCUAAACAUGAUACACAUAAAUGACAAUACGUAUAUUAAAGUAGAAACAAAACUCGACGUGACUAAAUUACCGUAUAAAACACAGUAAGCGUGCAUCCGAAUCUAAACUGCGGCUAAUAAAUCCUUAUCAAUAACUUUGUAUAUUUCUAUUGUGCUUGUGAGGUUGCUUUUACAUUCACGUAAUGUUAAAUACCACAGUUAUAUGAUAAAAAAUAAGCUUUGUUGAGUGUUUGACCUUUCAAACGGAACUUGCCUAAAUUACCGUAUACAACACAGUAAACGGGCAUCAGAAUCUAAACUGCGGUUGAUAAAUCCUUCCUUAUAACUAACUUUGUAUAUUUCUACCUUUAAAUUACAGUCGUAUUGUUAAGUGUUGUACCUUUAUUAAUCGUUUAAUGUUUUUAGUAAAUUAAAACAGUCAACAAACGUAUUUAGACACGGAUGUUACAACAGGACACAUCAAUCUCUUUUAACAAAGCAAUAGUGAAACGCAGUAACUUAAAUAAAGUAAAAUAUCUUACUGUGAAUUAUACUGCUGUGUCAUUGUUGUCAGAUCCAAUAUAAGUGGUGCUUCUGACUGAGUCUCUCUGCAAAUCCAGCAUCGACUUCUUUACAAAUGAAUCCAUGUCCACAACGUUAACAAACGCUCCCCACACGAGCUGGAACUUCUUCAAAAGCAAACUUUAUCCAAGCAUAUUGCUAAUGUUAAGUUCCAAGCCUCCGAAUUGAAGUAUUUAGCUUCUGUGUUGUUCCCAUGGUUGUUCCCACGCGGUUCUUUCACAACCGAAAAAGCGUUUCCAUGGUAUCAUAACAGAUCACCGCGUCAAAAUAAAAGUCUCUCAGAAAAAAUGUAUUUAAAAAGUCAUUUUGGUUAAAUUUGUCAAUCUUUAAAGACAUGUUUACUUACUGAGACACACGUGUCACGCGAAGCUGUGGGCGGGGCUACAAAAGUAGACUUGUCCUUUUGGUUAUGGGGAGGUGUUUCAAUUCUACUUUGACGUCAUAGAUUUCCGAAUUUUAGACUGGAGUUUUUAGCUGGCUUGGUGCCAAAGACGGUUAUAUUUCAGUAGCACGGACGUUUUCAGUUCUGAAACUUGCAGGAUGUUCAUUUAAGUAUGAUGACCUCUUAUAUAACAAAUUAUCAAGUUAAAAUUGAGUUUUUGAUUCACCGCUCCUUUAAAGUUUACACAUUGUAAAAAGCGCUGUAAUUAUGCUCUUACAUAUACGUGCAUAAAAUUGAAGGAAUAUAAUUAAAUGUGUCAUAUAAAAAUGUUUACAAUUUAAAAUAAAUAUUAUUUUAAAUACUGAUUAGAUUGUGGUCCCUAACUGUCUAGCAAUGUGUGUUUAUAUGUAAACUAAAACAAACGUUUGUCUUUAUAAAAGUUUGCAUUUCAUAAAGUUUAUUGAGUAGGCUCGCAUGAUUUUCGGUUGGGGGGCUUUAGAAAAGAGCCAAGCUCCCCUUUUGCACCUGCACUCACUCUUGUAUUAAAUAAAGAUUUAUAUGAUUGUAAAGUAAGAUAAAGUUUAUGGGGCAGUUUCCCGGAAAGGGAUUAGACUAGUCCUAGUCUAAAAUAAAUGUAAGAGCUGUCCAAACUGAAAACAACUUGCAAUGCCAUAUUUUAAAAUACAUCAAUGCCCUUUGUUUUGCUUCAAAAGGCACACAAGUAAUGUAUUUAGUAAGGCAUGUUUGUUACACUGGCCCCUCCUUGGCCCCCCUAGUGAAAUUUGUCUAGAACCGCCACUGUAUUUUUAACGUUAAAUGCAGAACAAUAAUAGGUUGGUUGUACUUUAACUUGCAAGGAUGCUGAAGAACAUAAACAUCUGAACUUUUCAAAACUAUGUACAGUCUGGCUGAAGUUCAUGGUGCCAGAAUUGACAUGAGAGCCGAACAUUUGGUUCUGUGCACCUGAAAUGCUCCGAUAAUAAUCCAUGCCACGGCAUUAAUUGAUGUGUGAUAAUCCGGAGUCCGGUUUGCAGAAUUUGCAGUCCUAUUUUACAUAUGUCUAUUGCUACAGGGCAGGCCCGGGUCACUCUCCCACUCCUUUCUGUAACUUUUGAUAUGCUUUCGCACUUCGACAUCUUGAUUUCCCGCUGAGACGCGGGCUCAUUGUCGACGUGCGUCAAGCCGUCAACACAAAAGGCUUGUUCAACUCCAAGCGGCGCUGCAAGAAACGACAGCCGGAUGACGUCAAAGUACCGCGAGAACGAUUCGAGAAAUCAUGCAAAGUGUAAUUUCGUCUCGCUCUCGCAGCGCUUUGACGUCAUCGGCUCACAGUUCUAGUGGCGCCGCUUGAAGUGUAACAAUGGAGUGGGCGUGUGUUUAUUAAUGUCACGGUAGAAUACAUGCACACUUGAUUUUUUGGUUUUGUUAAAUAAUUAGACUAUAAAAUUCACUUUAGGAAGACAAUACACAAGGCAAAUGUGAUUUUUAAAUAAAAUAUUAUCAUUAAAAUAAAAUCCCAUUCAACAUUAAUGGUGGUCUGAGGGGGCGAGAUAGUGCCGGUGAGGGGGUCAUUGUAGUGCUUGGCGCAGCUGAUGAGACAAUUGCGGCUAUUUCCUCUCACGCCUGUUUAACCGACGCUGAUUUGACCGGGUUUCUCCCAUCCCCAUACAAAACAACUUCUCUGUCUUUGACUGCUCUUACAAGAACGUGGGUCUCCUCGGCUGUGAACCGCUCCUGGCGUGCGCCUGGUAAAUCUGUCAUAAUAAUAGCAACCCGCCAUGGAACUUGCGCCCUUGCGUUUAAAGGGAAUGUUGGAUAGCGUUCUGAUUGGUUUAUUUGACGUUACGCCCAAACCACACCUAUGAAUAAUGAACCUACUUCAGACCAACCCCUUAUUGAUUUGCGCCCGGCGCAAGACUUAUUUCUCCCGCCGGGAAAAUAGCAACAGCGCCCAAGAUCCGCCCACAAAGUCACUUGCGUUUCAGAUCGUUAAAAUAGGGCCCAGGGUCAUCUUGGACCAGGGUCCUGUUGCACAAAAGUAGAAUUAAGAUAUCCAGGAUAAAUGACUGAGCUGAGUUCAAUGAAGCCAAAACAAGUGCGUCCAGGCUCAAUUGGUUGCACAAAGACCAAGCCAGGAUGAUCAGACACGGAUUCAUCA